ACGGAGGGUGCAAGCGUUGUCCGGAUUUAUUGGGUUUAAAGGGUGCGUAGGCGGCUGAAUAAGUCAGCGGUGAAAGACUUCGGCUUAACCGGAGCAGUGCCGUUGAUACUGUUUAGCUUGAGUGUUGGAGGGGUACAUGGAAUUGAUGGUGUAGCGGUGAAAUGCAUAGAUACCAUCAGGAACACCGAUAGCGAAGGCAUUGUACUGGCCAACAACUGACGCUGAGGCACGAAAGUGUGGGGAUCGAACAGGAUUAGAUACCCUGGUAGUCCACACUGUAAACGAUGAUUACUCGCUGUUAUGCUGUAUAGUGUAGCGGCCAAGCGAAAGCGUUAAGUAAUCCACCUGGGGAGUACGCCGGCAACGGUG
Molecule: ribosomal RNA, 369 nt
Filed under: uncultured bacterium
Lineage: Bacteria
Description: bacterial SSU rRNA
Rfam family: Bacterial small subunit ribosomal RNA
Source: RNAcentral